AUUGCUUCUCGGCCUUUUGGCUCAGAUCAAGUAUAGUAUCUGUUCUUAUCAGUUAAUAUCUGAUAUGUCCUCUAUCUGAGGACAUUAUAUUAAAUGUAUUUCUAGAGUAGGGAGAUGGGAUAGGAGCUUGCUCUGCCUACUACACACAUCGACCCGGUACUGCAGUACCUCUAGGAAUGGUGUACAAAAA
Molecule: small nuclear RNA, 190 nt
Organism: Pipistrellus kuhlii (Kuhl's pipistrelle)
Lineage: Eukaryota; Metazoa; Chordata; Mammalia; Chiroptera; Vespertilionidae
Product: U2 spliceosomal RNA
Exons: 1
Source: RefSeq, a predicted model, not a curated record